RNAcentral lists this ribosomal RNA (497 nucleotides) under uncultured bacterium. RNAcentral's name for it is "partial 16S ribosomal RNA". It matches the Rfam family "Bacterial small subunit ribosomal RNA", at positions 28 to 507 of the family's 1533-position model. The record is from RNAcentral.
GAUGAACGCUGGCGGCGUGCCUAAUACAUGCAAGUCGAGCGAACAGAUGAGGAGCUUGCUCCUCUGACGUUAGCGGCGGACGGGUGAGUAACACGUGGAUAACCUACCUAUAAGACUGGGAUAACUUCGGGAAACCGGAGCUAAUACCGGAUAAUAUAUUGAACCGCAUGGUUCAAUAGUGAAAGACGGUUUUGCUGUCACUUAUAGAUGGAUCCGCGCCGCAUUAGCUAGUUGGUAAGGUAACGGCUUACCAAGGCAACGAUGCGUAGCCGACCUGAGAGGGUGAUCGGCCACACUGGAACUGAGACACGGUCCAGACUCCUACGGGAGGCAGCAGUAGGGAAUCUUCCGCAAUGGGCGAAAGCCUGACGGAGCAACGCCGCGUGAGUGAUGAAGGUCUUCGGAUCGAAAAACUCUGUUAUUAGGGAAGAACAAAUGUGUAAGUAACUAUGCACGUCUUGACGGUACCUAAUCAGAAAGCCACGGCUAACUACGUG